This 301-nucleotide ribosomal RNA is filed under the name uncultured bacterium. RNAcentral describes it as "partial 16S ribosomal RNA". It matches the Rfam family "Bacterial small subunit ribosomal RNA", at positions 509 to 807 of the family's 1533-position model. The record is from RNAcentral.
CAGUAGCCGCGGGAAUACGUAGGGUGCAAGCGUUAAUCGGAAUUACUGGGCGUAAAGCGUGCGCAGGCGGUUUGUUAAGACAGAUGUGAAAUCCCCGGGCUCAACCUGGGAACUGCAUUUGUGACUGGCAAGCUAGAGUGUGGCAGAGGGGGGUGGAAUUCCGCGUGUAGCAGUGAAAUGCGUAGAUAUGCGGAGGAACACCGAUGGCGAAGGCAGCCCCCUGGGCCAACACUGACGCUCAUGCACGAAAGCGUGGGGAGCAAACAGGAUUAGAUACCCCGGUAGUCCCUGUCUCUUAUAC